GAUGAAUGCUGGCGGCGUGCCUAACACAUGCAAGUCGAGCGGUAACAGGAGUAGUUUACUACUUGCUGACGAGCGGCGGACGGCUGAGUAACGCGUGGGAACGUGCCCCAAAGUGAGGAAUAACUGCCCGAAAGGGUAGCUAAUACCGCAUAUGAUCUUCGGAUUAAAGGAUUUAUCCGCUUUGGGAGCGGCCCGCGUCGGAUUAGGUAGUUGGUGAGGUAAUGGCUCGCCAAGCCCACGAUCCGUAGCUGGUCUGAGAGGAUGAUCAGCCAGACUGGAACUGAGACACGGUCCAGACUCCUACGGGAGGCAGCAGUGAGGAAUCUUCCACAAUGGGCGAAAGCCUGAUGGAGCAACGCCGCGUGCAGGAUGAAGGCCUUCGGGUCGUAAACUGCUUUUAUAAGUGAAGAAUAUGACGGUAGCUUAUGAAUAAGCACCGGCUAACUACGUGCCAGCAGCCGCGGUAA
Molecule: ribosomal RNA, 467 nt
Filed under: uncultured bacterium
Lineage: Bacteria
Description: partial 16S ribosomal RNA
Rfam family: Bacterial small subunit ribosomal RNA
Source: RNAcentral